CCUACGGGAGGCAGCAGUGAGGAAUAUUGGUCAAUGGACGGAAGUCUGAACCAGCCAUGCCGCGUGCAGGAAGACGGCUCUAUGAGUUGUAAACUGCUUUUGUACAAGGGUAAACCUGAAUACGUGUAUUCAGCUGAAAGUACUGUACGAAUAAGCCACGGCUAACUACGUGCCAGCAGCCGCGGUAAUACGUAGGUGGCAAGCGUUGUCCGGAUUUACUGGGUGUAAAGGGCGUGCAGCCGGAGAGACAAGUCAGAUGUGAAAUCCACGGGCUCAACCCGUGAACUGCAUUUGAAACUGUUUCCCUUGAGUGUCGGAGAGGUAAUCGGAAUUCCUUGUGUAGCGGUGAAAUGCGUAGAUAUAAGGAAGAACACCAGUGGCGAAGGCGGAUUACUGGACGAUAACUGACGGUGAGGCGCGAAAGCGUGGGGAGCAAACAGGAUUAGAUACCCUAGUAGUC
RNAcentral lists this ribosomal RNA (460 nucleotides) under uncultured bacterium. RNAcentral's name for it is "partial 16S ribosomal RNA". It matches the Rfam family "Bacterial small subunit ribosomal RNA", at positions 338 to 795 of the family's 1533-position model. The record is from RNAcentral.